GUAGCUAAUACCGCAUAACGUCGCAAGACCAAAGAGGGGGACCUUCGGGCCUCUUGCCAUCGGAUGUGCCCAGAUGGGAUUAGCUUGUUGGUGGGGUAACGGCUCACCAAGGCGACGAUCCCUAGCUGGUCUGAGAGGAUGACCAGCCACACUGGAACUGAGACACGGUCCAGACUCCUACGGGAGGCAGCAGUGGGGAAUAUUGCACAAUGGGCGCAAGCCUGAUGCAGCCAUGCCGCGUGCAUGAAGAAGGCCUUCGGGUUGUAAAGUACUUUCAGCGGGGAGGAAGGGAGUAAAGUUAAUACCUUUGCUCAUUGACGUUACCCGCAGAAGAAGCACCGGCUAACUCCGUGCCAGCAGCCGCGGUAAUACGGAGGGUGUAAGCGUUAAUCGGAAUUACUGGGCGUAAAGCGCACGCAGGCGGUUUGUUAAGUCAGAUGUGAAAUCCCCGGGCUCAACCUGGGAACUGCAUCUGAUACUGGCAAGCUUGAGUCUCGUAGAGGGGGGUAGAAUUCCAGGUGUAGCGGUGAAAUGCGUAGAGAUCUGGAGGAAUACCGGUGGCGAAGGCAGCCCCCUGGACGAAGACUGACGCUCAGGUGCGAAAGCGUGGGGAGCAAACAGGAUCAGAUACCCUGGUAGUCCACGCCGUAAACGA
RNAcentral lists this ribosomal RNA (655 nucleotides) under uncultured bacterium. Its description in RNAcentral is "bacterial SSU rRNA". It matches the Rfam family "Bacterial small subunit ribosomal RNA", at positions 159 to 809 of the family's 1533-position model. The record is from RNAcentral.